CUAGUAAUCGCGAAUCAGAAUGUCGCGGUGAAUACGUUCCCGGGCCUUGUACACACCGCCCGUCACACCAUGAGAGUCGAUAACACCCGAAGCCUGUGAGCUAACCUUUUAGGAGGCAGCAGUCGAAGGUGGGGGUUGAUGAUUGGGGGUGAAGUCGUAACAAGGUAUC
RNAcentral lists this ribosomal RNA (169 nucleotides) under uncultured bacterium. Its description in RNAcentral is "partial 16S ribosomal RNA". It matches the Rfam family "Bacterial small subunit ribosomal RNA", at positions 1335 to 1500 of the family's 1533-position model. The record is from RNAcentral.